GCACAGUGGUGCAGCGGAUAGCGCUGGUGUCUCUCAACAACUGGGCGUGGGUUCCAUCCCCACCUUGUGCG
RNAcentral lists this transfer RNA (71 nucleotides) under Scleropages formosus (Asian bonytongue). Its description in RNAcentral is "tRNA-Glu". Lineage: Eukaryota; Metazoa; Chordata; Actinopteri; Osteoglossiformes; Osteoglossidae. The record is from RNAcentral.